Molecule: long non-coding RNA, 1952 nt
Filed under: Canis lupus familiaris (dog)
Lineage: Eukaryota; Metazoa; Chordata; Mammalia; Carnivora; Canidae
Description: lncRNA (ENSCAFG00845003983.1)
Source: RNAcentral
CUUGGUUCACCAGGCUUUCUUUGGCAUCCUACAACAGGGCCUCUCUCGGUCGAAGGCUUAAAAACCAUGUGCUGAAUGAGUAAAUGCUGGGAUUAUGUAUUCAUUUGCCAGGGCUGCCAUAAUAAAGUAUCCAAGACUUGAAUGGCUUAACUCACAGAAAUGUAUUUUCUCAUAGCAUUGAUCCGGGUGUGGGCAGCAUGGGCUUCUUCUGAGGCUUCUCUCCGUGGCCUGAGGACCAACCCCUUCCUGCUGUCUUCACCUGGGCUUCCUUCUGUACAUGUUUGGUACCUACUCUCUUAGGACAAUGGUUAUAUUGCAUUAGAACCACCUUAAUGACUCAUGUAACCUUCAUUAUCCUUUUAGGAUAUGAUGUCCAGAUACAGUCAGUCACAUGGGUGGUUAGAGCUUCAAUGUACGAAUUUGUGUGUGUGUGUGGGGGGGGGGGGAGGGUGUUGCAAAUUCGUUCCAUAACAGGUUCCCAUCUAUAGUACCUAUGUUGUUUUCACUUCUCAGAUGGGUUUUCUCUGUUUCCCGUUACCCCCAUUUGUGCUCACCCAGUGCUAAUCCUCAUUUGCCCUUUUCUCAAGCUGUAACUGUGUUUAUCUGUAGAGUGAUUCUCUCUUCCCUCUACCUCUAGACUCUCAGUUCCUGGCAUUGUUUUAACACUUGAAUUACAUUCUCAUCUUGAACAUCAUAACCUCCCUAUAAGGUAAGCAUGAUUACUCUCAUUGCAAGAAUAUACAAUUGUAGGCAGUGUUUCUGAGGUCACAGUACUAGUAGAUGGUGUCAUUCUGAUUUUAACUUGAUUCUCAUGGGCUCAAGAGCCUACUUUCUUCUACCACACAGUCACCAAGAUGAAUAGGGAAAAAUCAUACUUCCGCUUUAUAUAUUAUAAGCAGUGGUACCCUUAAAGUUGGUGUCACAUUUCCAGAAAUGGGAUUAAAUUUAGAAUCUGAGUAAUUAUACCCACAGGUUGAAUUUGAACCUCAUGUCUGUUUUUUUUUUCUUUAACCGCUGCAAUUUCUAUUAUCCUUAAUGAUUAUCUAAAUUUAUUCUUCCCUUUGUAAAAUUUAGCAACUAAGAAUACUAAGAAAGUGUUUCCUUUUUAAGAGGUCAGAAUUAUACAAUGAAUUCAUAAUGUCAAGGCAAUAGCUGUUAUUUUAUUCUAAAAUAUACAGGAAAAGGUCAUAGCUUUUGUUAUAAGAGUUUAACAUGUGUUCUUGAUAACAUGCCAGAGCUCUAUUGGUGAAAAACCAUCAUAGGCUUUGAAAGCCAGUUAUUUAUAGUUUGGAGAAUAUCAAUUUGGAUUCAGCUCAUUGUUUAAAAUAGAAAUUAAAAUUUUUCUCCAUCAACUUUAUAUUUUAGAAUGAGCUUUGCUUUGAGAAGUAUAUUAAAUAUGCAUUAAAAAUUAAUUUCCAAUGGAUACAAGUUGUACAAUCAUUAAAUUGACAGGGAAGUGGGUGUCAAAACUUUUCAUUUUGAUAUGUAGAUGGCAAUAUGAUAGGUCAUGUGUGGCUCCUUAUACCUGUUGAGCUUCGGUCUUCAUUUACUGUUUCCAAACGAUUGCUCUGAGCUUACGGGUAUUGAUUAAGUGACCACAUAAUGGUUGUUUUAAGUUGGCAUCAAGGGUGCAGAGAUGAUUCUUAGGUUGCACAUGAGGAAACUGUUGAUUCCCUCCUUCUACAUCUGCAUAGCUCCUAAAAAUGUAAGGCUAGACCCUUUUAUCCAAAUAAAUUUUGUUCAAAGCAAGUGCGCCUUGCGUAUAAGCUAAAGACUUAAAUAAUAAUCAAUACUUUUGGAGUCUGAUAUUAAUUUAGGGAUUUAAAAUAGGUCUAGAAUAAGCUUGUAGACACUAAUAUACCUACAAUUACUGGUAAUUAAAACAAGGAAAUAGCCUGAAUCUCCAAGCAUAAAAUACUGUUGUUUCCCUAGGAACUUAUCAUGUUAAGUUG